RNAcentral lists this ribosomal RNA (507 nucleotides) under uncultured bacterium. Its description in RNAcentral is "bacterial SSU rRNA". It matches the Rfam family "Bacterial small subunit ribosomal RNA", at positions 791 to 1318 of the family's 1533-position model. The record is from RNAcentral.
UAGUCCACACCGUAAACGAUGAAUGCUAGUUGUUGGCAGGCAUGCCUGUCGGUGACGCAGCUAACGCAUUAAGCAUUCCGCCUGGGGAGUACGGCCGCAAGGUUAAAACUCAAAGAAAUUGACGGGGGCCCGCACAAGCGGUGGAGCAUGUGGUUUAAUUCGAAGCAACGCGCAGAACCUUACCCGCGUUCGACAUGCCCUGUUUGAUUUUCAGAGAUGAAUUUCUUCAAUUCGGUUGGACCGUGCACAGGUGCUGCAUGGCCGUCGUCAGCUCGUGUCGUGAGAUGUUGGGUUAAGUCCCGCAACGAGCGCAACCCUCACUUUUAGUUGCCAGCAUUUAGUUGGGCACUCUAGAAGAACUGCCGGUGCUAAGCCGGAGGAAGGUGGGGAUGACGUCAGGUCCUCAUGGCCCUUACGGGUAGGGCUACACACGUGCUACAAUGGCGCUGACAGAGGGUUAAUCCCUAAAAGGCGUCUCAGUUCGGAUUGUCCUCUGCAACUCGAGGG